AGGGAUGUAGCGCAGCUUGGUAGCGCGUUUGUUUUGGGUACAAAAUGUCACGGGUUCACCUUCUUUCAUCAAUA
Molecule: transfer RNA, 74 nt
Filed under: Oryza sativa Japonica Group (Japanese rice)
Lineage: Eukaryota; Viridiplantae; Streptophyta; Magnoliopsida; Poales; Poaceae
Rfam family: tRNA
About the family: Transfer RNA (tRNA) molecules are approximately 80 nucleotides in length. Their secondary structure includes four short double-helical elements and three loops (D, anti-codon, and T loops). Further hydrogen bonds mediate the characteristic L-shaped molecular structure. tRNAs have two regions of fundamental functional importance: the anti-codon, which is responsible for specific mRNA codon recognition, and the 3' end, to which the tRNAs corresponding amino acid is attached (by aminoacyl-tRNA synthetases). tRNAs cope with the degeneracy of the genetic code in two manners: having more than one tRNA (with a specific anti-codon) for a particular amino acid; and 'wobble' base-pairing, i.e. permitting non-standard base-pairing at the 3rd anti-codon position.
Source: Rfam by way of RNAcentral